CAUCCUUCAAAGAUUUUGAACUUAAAUGCCAGGAAGACCAAAAUUACCACAAGUCCUCCGUAUUUGACAAGACAAACAAUAAUAUUUGAAGUAUAUGAACAGUUGAGAACGUGACCUUAUUUGCAAUUGUAAAAACUCACGCAGUUGAAUACUAGUGCAUUGAUGCAAUAAAAACAAACUGAUGAGCUAAAAACAGAGUCUUGUUAGCGGAAGUCACAACAAAGGCAUAGUGAAAUAGUUCAUAUAAUACUAGACUGUCUCACCCCCAGAACCUACAAUCCAACAUUAUGUGAUUAAAUUUUUGAUACAAGAAGUCUUAUCUUUCCACUUGACAAAUUAUUGACUCAACAUUGCUCACACUUAACAUCAACAUUUUGAUUGAUCAGCGUGUUAAUUCAGUUGACUAACUUAGCAUACUUUCUCACGCUAAUUUAUACUCUACCUUCUUGAGUUUUUCUUGCCACCAAAACGGAAAUUCUACUUAAGCCUGAGGAAGUACUAUAAAAUGCUUACUUUUAAUUAGGAAAACUAGAAGUGAACAAAUGAUAUGAUAUGCAAUUAUUGACGAUUAAACCUACAAAUUGUCAUCAGAAAAUUUAAAAAGCACCAGUGCAAAAUAGAGCAUACUUUGAUACCUCUCACACUUGUUGACCGUUGAGUGCCAUAUAUCAAGGUACCUUUUACUCCUAUUUUUACACUUUCUUUUCCCGUCGACCUUUACAAAAGCGGCUAAACCAAUAUAUGUGAAACUACAUUUCCCAAAAGCCUAUAAUAAAAUGUACCCUCAUACAUA
Molecule: long non-coding RNA, 793 nt
Filed under: Capsicum annuum
Lineage: Eukaryota; Viridiplantae; Streptophyta; Magnoliopsida; Solanales; Solanaceae
Description: long non-coding RNA (CANN_LNC011871)
Source: RNAcentral